Molecule: long non-coding RNA, 2369 nt
Organism: Canis lupus familiaris (dog)
Lineage: Eukaryota; Metazoa; Chordata; Mammalia; Carnivora; Canidae
Exons: 3
Source: RefSeq, a predicted model, not a curated record
UUCUCGCUUGGGUCCUCUGUAUAUGGUUGUUUGCCAGGGGUUCUUUUCUCCUCGGUUAGUCCCAGAACUGGGUGGGAAAUUCUUCCCAGGGCUUCCAGUUGCAACUGAAGUGUGUCUCUGGGGGCAGCUGAACUAAGGCACUUCCUUGCCCACCUACUCUGUGCUAUAUUUCGGCCUCUGCUGCAGCAAGUCCUUCACUUAUGUGCUUAGGAACAUCAUCCAUCCCCUUGUGUAUGUCCCUCAACCUCCUUGGGAGCUCGUGCCUUAGGGCAGAAGCCACAGUAGGGCAUGGGACUGUCAGUUACCGUGAACCUAAUUCCUCACAUGCGCAGGGUUUGGGAAGCAAUGCUGAGCAGUGGAAUGGAUGGGGUCUUAAGAGAUCCGGGGCCACGUUCGGCUGUGCCAUGUGACCUUGGGUGAAGUGACCUCCCUGAGCCUCAGCCUCACCAACUGAACUUUUCAAGGUGCUCGUGAACAAGAAGAGAAAUGUGCUCAGCACUGCAUUUGGCACGUCACUGGUGCUUGGUGAAGUCGGGCCCCUUCCUUUCCAACACUUCUAGAGCCACAGAACUGCACUGAGGUUUCCCACAGAUACGAUGUGUUCUGUAGCUUGUGUUUCUGCUCCCAAGGAUCCCGCCCUUCUUCUCGUAGACUUCCACUUCAGUGUGACAUGGACCACUGUUCCCGCUAAUAGGCCUCUCUGGGGAAGCCAACAACCACUUGGUUCCCUGCCUUGGGCCGAGUUAAACAGACUCACUUUGUAGGCACAGACCAUCCUAUAAACUGGGAAAGUGAUGACCACACCGUUCUUCAAUAUCACGGAACAGCCAUGAAUAGAAAUGAAAUCAGAUUACGUUGGACCAUAUGAAACCCUUUUGUAGGUCAAAUAUGGUUCAACAUCUGUAGUUUCGUGCUUCAGCCUCACGGUUCCCUGGGUCUCUUAAUCUAAUCGUAGAUGGUCACUAGUAAACGUCAUUUACAAAUGUCCAUAGUAAAGGAUGUUAAGCAGCUCUUUGGCCAGCAGGGAAGGCUUGGAUUAGACGAGACAAUGAUAUAAAAGUGCUUUAUAGACCAUGAAGACUAGGUAAUGGAAGUUAUUUUUGGAAUUAAUCGUGGACAUGGAAUAUUUUAACCCAGGGGCUCUUAAACUUUUACAAAACUAGAUAAAUUCCACUGAGUGCAUUUCUAACGUGAUUUCACAAAAGAAAAGUCUGUUUUCAGUGUGCGAUUUGUUGUUUGCGCUGGAUAUAUUCAGCUGGAGUUCACGCUUGGCCCUCCCUAAAAAAAGGGUGUCUUUGAAGGCCAAAGUCCCGGUAAGAGAUUGCUUGAUAUUAAACUUACUGUAUUUGUGUUGAGGGGGUAGGGGGCUGCCAAGGUGGGGGCCGAGAGGAAUGACCGUCACAUACAGAAUAAACUAGAGCUUGUGAGAGCUUCGUUUCUUUGGAUAGCUGACACAGCCUGGCCCCAGGAGGGUGAAUAUUUUCUUUGUUUUCAGCUGUUAAUCCAUUUUGUGAAAAUUCAGCCAAACGUUAGACAAAUGUGCAAAAUGUGCUCCAUUCCUCCCAGCAACCCAGGGUUAGUUCUGAGCCACUCUCCAACAACAGCUCCUCUGGGACCUGGAUGUGAAGGGCAGAAAUGGCAAGAACGUUUGCCUGUUUCCCAUCUCACCACCACAGAACUUUAAUUCCAAAACAUAAUAAGCUAAUGGGGCAUUAUUCAUGUGGAUUAUUCCAGUGAGCCCCUGGAAGUGAUAGAAUCGUCCCUCUUCUUCCAUUCCACUACCGUGACCGUGACUGUAGACUGUCCGUUGGAGGAUUUCCCAAGAGGAGUUGUUACAAAGACUGUCCCAUGUCAUCGUGGACUCCCAGGAAAGCAGGUGGGCACGGUACAGAAGUGCAUGCAGCUGGGAGAAGCGAAGAGGUCUCACUCCGGCUAAUACAACUGUAAACACGGAUCUUUACAACCGUCUUCAUCCUAACUUCUAAAGCUCUGUAGACAGAGAGCCCUUCCUUGUAUCAAGAGAUGAAAGGCCACGUGGAAAAAAGAGAGCUGACAGUUCCUUCUCACUUGGACAGAGAAAACCAGAACUAAAACCGUCUUUGGAUGUAAGGGAUACACAUUAGGGCACGUUUGCAGAAUUUGGAUUUAUCCGAAAGUGGCUUAACAUGUUUGCAGUCUCUCAGAAUUGGCCUAUCCUAGAGUCAAGAAAAACUUGAUUCAGGGUUUCUAAAGUAAGAGAAGUCAAAUUCCUUUACUGAGAAAAAUAAAAAGAUUUCAGUCCAGUAUUUUUCUGCACUUGGCUAUUUCAUAAAUCCUCCUCUUUAGAAACUUAAUGUAUCUGUAGCUGUUUUACAGUCAGUUCCUAAAGC